RNAcentral lists this long non-coding RNA (226 nucleotides) under Medicago truncatula (barrel medic). RNAcentral's name for it is "long non-coding RNA (MTRU_LNC002433)". Lineage: Eukaryota; Viridiplantae; Streptophyta; Magnoliopsida; Fabales; Fabaceae. The record is from RNAcentral.
UGCACAGUGUCAGAGAAAUCCACAGAGACCCAUUCAACCAGUGCCACAUCACAAACACGUGAAAAAUCUCUCUCUCUUGGCAGUUAGGAUCAAAACAGAAAAUCCACCAAGAACAAUUCACAAACCCUGAUUUCCAGAACCAAAUUUCAUCAACAAAUUCACUGAGAUUGCAUCAAUUCUCAGAGAUUCAUGGAUGAAUCUUCAUCACUGAACUGAAAUCCCUGCA